Camellia sinensis is the source of this 3701-nucleotide non-coding RNA. The record is from RefSeq and is a predicted model, not a curated record. Lineage: Eukaryota; Viridiplantae; Streptophyta; Magnoliopsida; Ericales; Theaceae.
CGUUAUUGUGAGGCUCGACAAUCCUUAUUCGAGUGGAUAACGCAGAUUAAUGACAAUAAUCUUGAAGUGUUAACGGUUGAGAAUUGUCCAUCCCUCACAUGCUUGAUAUCGUGCAGAGGUGUGGGGCUACCACCCACACUCAAACACCUUGAGAUUGAGAAGUGUAAAAAGUUUGAGGCACUGCUAGUAGAGGAGGGGAUGGAAAUUAACUGUCCAUCUCUUUAGUCUGUUCGGAUCUGGUGUUGUCAUAUGCUGAAAUACUUGCCCGAUGCCCUUCCUAAUAAUAAUAAUCUCAGGAAUCUCAGUUGAUUGAUCUUGCAUGAGUGUAAGAAUUUGGAGUACAUUCCGGAAGGAUGGUUCCACUCCGCAACAAAUCUGAGAGAAUUGAAUAUCAGGGGAUGCAAAAAACUGAACGCCCUACCACACGGAUCGCAGAGCAUGAACAUCAACUGCCUCACUUCUCUUCAGGAGCUGUAUUUGAAUAUUUCGGAAUGGAACAACUUCAAGAAGAUUGAUUUGCACAGUUUAUCCUCUCUUAAAAUCUUGUUGAUUGAAGGCAAAGACGAAGAACAUCCGGUGGGUUCCAGCUUUCCGAUAGAUGGGAUGUUGCUGCCCACCUCUCUGAUCGAUCUUCGCAUCUCGGGUUUCCAAAAUCUCCUAAGUUGUUUCAAAACCUCUCCCCUCUUGAAUUUCUUAAAAUCGGUGGUUGCCCUAUGCUCAAAUCUUUACCAGUGCGAAGGCUGCCUCCCUCACUUAAGAGAUUGUGGAUCAUCGGGGGAAGUCAGAAACUAACAGGGAAGUGUGAAAAGAAGAAAGGCAAAUAUUGGCCCCACUUAGCCCACAUUCCUUGUGUCGAGUUGAUGGUUGAUGAUUGAUGAUUCCCACCGCAAUACAAGCAAUCAAAUUGCCAGAUAUGUGCUUUCAAGGAUUUGAAUACAAAGAGAGGCAUAUUCCGAUAGAUUUCCUUGCCUGCUUUUAUUUCCUGAAGGAACCACAACAAAUGGAAGAGUUCUCAUUUCUUUCUAACUUGGUGUAUUUGUCCCUGGAUAUCCUGUCCAUCUAGUGAUUGUUCGCUAUCCCCAUGUACACUUUUGACCAAUCUUGGGGAAAUAUAGCUUUGGGAAAGCUCAUGUUAGAAUGUUCAAAGUUUCACAAUUUCAUAGAGGUAGAGUAUCAUCCAGUUAUCUUACCCCUUCAAAAUCAGUAGGAAAAUGCUGCCCAUUUUGCUUAGAGGAACAACAUAUCUCUAGUCUGGUCUUGGAUUGAAUCCUGGAUUGCUGAGUCUUGCUUGGUUACACUAACUGUACAAACAUUUCACUCCUAUGGGGACAUCAUGCUGCUUGCAAAAGCUUCUGAGUCCAAACAGGAAAAUCCCUUACUAUAUACUGUUGAAAUGGCAAAUGUGGAAUCGACAUUCGAUUUAAGCAGAGGCUGUGGACUUUUUGGAUACAUUUCUAUCCAUGAAUCCAAAUUCCAGGUAUGACGACAAGAAAUUUUAAUUUUAGUGAUAUUUCUGCAACACAAUAACUAUCAUGUAUGGCUACAUUUUCCUGUAAGGAGCUAUUUAUAAUAUACUUCUGAUCAAAACUUCUUGAGUUGUUCAUCUGGAACUUCAUGCCACCUUACCUGUAUGCAAGUCCCUAAAUGUGAUCAAUUUUCCUUCAUUCUGUCGCUUAAGAUUAUUGCACAGGGUAUUUGAAUCAUGGAUGAGUAAUCCGCUUGCUUUUUUAUAUUUUAUUUUAUCCUUCAUUUCGUGUGUUCCUUCUGUUCUGUUUCUUUUUCCUUUCUUUCGCUUGUAGAUGUGAUUUUUAUUUGAGUUUAUUAAAAAGUAUAUUUUCAUUGAACUAAAGCUGCAUCCAUGCCAAUGAUGCAAAUGAGGGAUUUUUUGGUGGCUAAAUCAAAUUAUUCUUGAUAUUCCAUUAUUUGAUUUAAAAGCAUAUGUUAUUGCUUCUUCCCAUUUUUCUCAGAUAUAUCAAAUCCUUGGUAGGGUUAUAAUUAACGUUGAUCAUGAGUAUUUCUGUGAAUAGAUAUUUUUACCCUCAUCAGUAUGUUAUGUAUUAGUUGUGCACUGGAUAAUCCUACUGUUGCACUGAAAUUCAUUAAUCAUUAUCAUAUCAGGCUUUUCUUUUCUUUAUUUUUUCUUUUACGCAUAAUUUUAAAACAUGUGAGCUCAAUUUUCUUCCAACAACUGGGUUUCAAAAUUGACACUUUUUUUUAUAUUGUGAUUUGUGACUAUUAUAACAUACUGUAGUGCUUCACUAAACUGAAGAUGUACACCAUGUGCUUCAAUAGCGCUUAAGUUGUCGCAGAUUUCACUGAGUCGGUGAAGGUUAGAGUUGCUUUAUGGGCAAAAUCUAAUUUAAAAGAAUUGAAGUAUUCAGUUCAUGACAUAGUAACUAAUCUGAAGCAGGUAUGCUUUUGUGUAUAGAUGGAAGUCAAUCUAGUUGCUGCUGCAGAAUUGAGGUGUAUUGUCUGUCAGUUGCAGCUUCAGAGUUGCUGCUAGAUGUAGAAGCUGUGAAUAAGUUGCUGAUAGAUUGAUGCUAGUUAGAUUUUGGGUGCUACUAGAUUAAAGCUGUUUUACCCUGGGUGUAUAGAACUGUUAUGCCCUGGUUUUGUUCUGUUUAGUCUCCUGUUUUUCCUGCUUCUCUGUUUUUUCAGUUUCUUGGAUCAGAUUCAAGACUGCAGUUGAGAGAUAUUAGCUGGUUUAUUACCUGGGUCUGCCACCACCAAAUUUAGAAGACUUAUGCAAGGCUGUCAAAGUUCAAUAUUGUAUUAAGCAGGGGAGAUGAGCAUAGCCCUGUCUUGCUGCCUGCACUGGAAUCUAGACAAUUGGAUGUGGGUGCUCUACUGUGUAUUGUGUUUUGUGGUGUGUAAGUUAGAAUUGCUCUUGGGUUAAGCCAAAUAUUAAAGGAAUGAAUUACUCAGUGCUGUUUGCUGCUGCUGUAUACUGGUCUAUGGUUGCAAACCUGCAUGCUGUUGUUUUGGUCUGCUGUUGUGUGCUGCUGUCCUAAGGCAUAUUGCUAUGUGCAGAAUGCUGCUGCUGGUGUCUGCUGCUGCUGGUUGUUACUGGUUGAUAAGCAGCUGGUUGAUAAGCCUGUGAGUUAAUUAAAUUAAUUAAGAUUAGAGUUGCACUAAGUGUAAUAUUGGACAGUUGCUGGUGUUUUGGCUGGAAGGGUAUGGAGAGGGUAUAUUUUAUGUUGCUCAUCUGAUAGAGUGCAUAGGGCAGCAGGGGGAAGUUUAUCUAGUUUGUUCUGCAGGUAGUCAAUUUGGUUCAUAGUUGAUGCUACUGCUGAUGUUGCAAUUCUUGGUGCUGGUGGAGCUGGCAGCCUCACCAACUUGUGGGUUUAGUGCUAGCAGAUGAUUGUGUUUCCUCCUUGGUGCCAACCUAGUUGGGAUUGUGGAGUGUUAGUUAUGAUUCUUUUUGCACUUCUCUCCUUUAUUGAUGUAUAUUGAUGCUUGUUUUUGCUCAUCUCAUCAAUAGAGUUUCAUUUUUCUUUGCUGAUCAAAAAAAAAAAUAGUGCUGAAGUUGGUGGUGAUGCAAGAUUUGUUUAUCUCACUGUUUGCAUCCUGCUCAUAGCGGACAGGUUAGAAUCCACGAUUUCUUCAGGGUUCUGAGAUUGAAUCAUAAACUAUGCGAUUUGCUAUGUAAUAGUACUCUUAUUUGUUGUUGUGUAUCUAUUUUCUUAUGAUUUGAUGAGUCA